Molecule: long non-coding RNA, 939 nt
Organism: Anopheles merus
Lineage: Eukaryota; Metazoa; Arthropoda; Insecta; Diptera; Culicidae
Exons: 3
Source: RefSeq, a predicted model, not a curated record
UUGACAAUGCUCAAAGGUUAUUCACCGGUUGGGCAACGUUGGGCGACGUUGGUCCAAGCCGGAGUAUAGCAGUCGCGAUUUGGUUUGCUUCAUUGUUGGAAUGGUUUGCUUUUGGCAAAGGCUCAGUGUCCACGCAUUAACUGCAUUUUUUAUGUUAAUACAGCUCGAUGAGAGGGCUAGUUUUACAGUGUGUUAUAAUUAUGCUAACAAUUCCUGUUUGUUUUACUGAUUGUGUGUUUAACCAACAGACAGAAAGUUCAAAUUUUACUGAGCCGGCUCACAGUUUUCCCAUGCAGCAGAUGUUCCAAUGCAGGCUUUCUAGUGCGAGCUGUGCUAUGUGAAUUUAAUUGUUGCACCAUUACUACCGUUCGUAUUACUACCGUACGCUGUCACCGCAACCCCUUCCCUCGAGGUUUUCAAACAAACUGACCAAAGGACAUCACCGGUGAACAAAAUGGAAGAAGGAAAUCUUACAACGGGGUAAUCAGAAACAUUUUAUAUCUGUCUCACAAGAAAGGGAAAUCACUGAACCCUGCCUUACGCGAAUCUACUUUGUACUGUCAUCCGUAUCGUUGCUGGCGACUGAUGAUGCUAACUUCCGUUUCAAUCUGUUUUUCCCGAAAAUGGAAGGGUUGCCGCAUUGAGCUGCCAACGCAAGCUAUUCGAAAGGUUAAUAAGGCAAGUGGUUGUGUCGAGACGAUUAAACGCAACCUAUCGGAUUAGAAAAGAAUGAGCCGCUGGUCAUGAAUAAAUUACAGAUUGUCAACAUGCUUUUCCACACUUUAGAAUCCAAAACAGGGGUUCGGUUUUGAUUUUGAAGACAAGAGAUUUGUAAAUCAUUUUAAACGUUUGUUGUGGUUUUUCGGUCAUAUCAAUAUGGGUAUUAGAUAAAGCUCGUUUAAUGUUCAAGAAAAAAAAACUAAAUCUGUUUUAAUUGUA